GUUUAGGAAGAGUACACAUGGGUUGUGUAAAGUUUAAAGUGUUAGUGUGUACUAAAAUAAUGUAAUAGAACACUGAAUUACUGAUUCGAACUAAUAAGCUAAACAUAACAAACAAUGAAACAUGGCUAUCAGAAGUACAUGAUGGUGAUCGAUUAGUGCUUUGGAAAUUGUUAAUUAAUCAGAUAAGAGAAGAAAGGAAAAAAGUGAUUUGAUAUUCAACAAAUCAAUAAGACGUAUACUGGAUAAUAAUAUAAAACGGCGUCAAAUAGGGAGUUACCAUAAAAUACGGAUAAAAAUGGUUGUUAAGACAAGUGAUGCAUCGGAACAAACGCAAAUAUUAUGAAUGCGCGAUGAAAACAACAGGCAUAAACAUUUAACAUUGAAGUUGCUGAAGUGAUUUUGGUAUUCUCAAUUCAUCAUGCUCCGACUAU
Long non-coding RNA from Ruditapes philippinarum (Manila clam), 431 nucleotides. RefSeq lists it as uncharacterized. Lineage: Eukaryota; Metazoa; Mollusca; Bivalvia; Venerida; Veneridae. The record is from RefSeq and is a predicted model, not a curated record. The transcript is spliced from 2 exons.